CAGGCUUAACACAUGCAAGUCGAGGGGCAUCAGGAACAUAGCUUGCUUUCUUUGCUGGCGACCGGCGCACGGGUGAGUAACACGUAUCCAACCUGCCCUUUACUCGGGGAUAGCCUUUCGAAAGAAAGAUUAAUACCCGAUAGCAUAAUGAUUCCGCAUGGUUUCAUUAUUAAAGGAUUCCGGUAAAGGAUGGGGAUGCGUUCCAUUAGGUUGUUGGUGGGGUAACGGCCCACCAAGCCUUCGAUGGAUAGGGGUUCUGAGAGGAAGGUCCCCCACAUUGGAACUGAGACACGGUCCAAACUCCUACGGGAGGCAGCAGUGAGGAAUAUUGGUCAAUGGGCGCUAGCCUGAACCAGCCAAGUAGCGUGAAGGAUGAAGGCUCUAUGGGUCGUAAACUUCUUUUAUAUAAGAAUAAAGUGCAGUAUGUAUACUGUUUUGUAUGUAUUAUAUGAAUAAGGAUCGGCUAACUCCGUGCCAGCAGCCGCGGUAAUACGGAGGGUCCGAGCGUUAUCCGGAUUUAUUGGGUUUAAAGGGAGCGUAGGUGGACUGGUAAGUCAGUUGUGAAAGUUUGCGGCUCAACCGUAAAAUUGCAGUUGAUACUGUCAGUCUUGAGUACAGUAGAGGUGGGCGGAAUUCGUGGUGUAGCGGUGAAAUGCUCAGAUAUCACGAAGAACUCCGAUUGCGAAGGCAGCUCACUGGACUGCAACUGACACUGAUGCUCGAAAGUGUGGGUAUCAAACAGGAUUAGAUACCCUGGUAGUCCACACAGUAAACGAUGAAUACUCGCUGUUUGCGAUAUACAGUAAGCGGCCAAGCGAAAGCAUUAAGUAUUCCACCUGGGGAGUACGCCGGCAACGGUGAAACUCAAAGGAAUUGACGGGGGCCCGCACAAGCGGAGGAACAUGUGGUUUAAUUCGAUGAUACGCGAGGAACCUUACCCGGGCUUAAAUUGCAGUGGAAUGAUGUGGAAACAUGUCAGUGAGCAAUCACCGCUGUGAAGGUGCUGCAUGGUUGUCGUCAGCUCGUGCCGUGAGGUGUCGGCUUAAGUGCCAUAACGAGCGCAACCCUUAUCUUUAGUUACUAACAGGUCAUGCUGAGGACUCUAGAGAGACUGCCGUCGUAAGAUGUGAGGAAGGUGGGGAUGACGUCAAAUCAGCACGGCCCUUACGUCCGGGGCUACACACGUGUUACAAUGGGGGGUACAGAAGGCAGCUAGCGGGUGACCGUAUGCUAAUCCCAAAAGCCUCUCUCAGUUCGGAUCGAAGUCUGCAACCCGACUUCGUGAAGCUGGAUUCGCUAGUAAUCGCGCAUCAGCCACGGCGCGGUGAAUACGUUCCCGGGCCUUGUACACACCGCCCGUCAAGCCAUGGGAGCCGGGGGUACCUGAAGUACGUAACCGCAAGGAUCGUCCUAGGGUAAAACUGGUGACUG
This 1431-nucleotide ribosomal RNA is filed under the name uncultured organism. Its description in RNAcentral is "16S ribosomal RNA". It matches the Rfam family "Bacterial small subunit ribosomal RNA". The record is from RNAcentral.